This 67-nucleotide transfer RNA is filed under the name Mus saxicola (spiny mouse). RNAcentral's name for it is "tRNA-Val". It matches the Rfam family "tRNA". Rfam says of the family: Transfer RNA (tRNA) molecules are approximately 80 nucleotides in length. Their secondary structure includes four short double-helical elements and three loops (D, anti-codon, and T loops). Lineage: Eukaryota; Metazoa; Chordata; Mammalia; Rodentia; Muridae. The record is from RNAcentral.
CAUAGUGUAGCUUAAUUAAAGCAUCCGGCUUACACCCAGAAGAAUUCACAAUAAAUGAACACUAUGA